Molecule: ribosomal RNA, 492 nt
Filed under: uncultured bacterium
Lineage: Bacteria
Description: partial 16S ribosomal RNA
Rfam family: Bacterial small subunit ribosomal RNA
Source: RNAcentral
AGUGAACGCUGGCGGUAGGCCUAACACAUGCAAGUCGAACGGCAGCACAGUAAGAGCUUGCUCUUACGGGUGGCGAGUGGCGGACGGGUGAGGAAUACAUCGGAAUCUACUUUUUCGUGGGGGAUAACGUAGGGAAACUUACGCUAAUACCGCAUACGACCUACGGGUGAAAGCAGGGGAUCUUCGGACCUUGCGCGAUUGAAUGAGCCGAUGUCGGAUUAGCUAGUUGGCGGGGUAAAGGCCUACCAAGGCGACGAUCCGUAGCUGGUCUGAGAGGAUGAUCAUCCACACUGGAACUGAGACACGGUCCAGACUCCUACGGGAGGCAGCAGUGGGGAAUAUUGGACAAUGGGCGCAAGCCUGAUCCAGCCAUACCGCGUGGGUGAAGAAGGCCUUCGGGUUGUAAAGCCCUUUUGUUGGGAAAGAAAAGCAGCAGGUUAAUACCCCGCUGUUCUGACGGUACCCAAAGAAUAAGCACCGGCUAACUUCGUG